This is a long non-coding RNA of Gymnogyps californianus (California condor), 208 nucleotides long. RefSeq lists it as uncharacterized. The transcript has 3 exons. Lineage: Eukaryota; Metazoa; Chordata; Aves; Accipitriformes; Cathartidae. The record is from RefSeq and is a predicted model, not a curated record.
GGAGUUGUGCUGCAAGGAGCUAGGUGAAAGCUGCUGAAUUGUCAGGCUUCUGAUAUCUUCAGUGGAGACUCGCAAGACGGACAGAAAAUAUAUUGCUGAGCUCUUGGUUAGCCAUCAACUACCUGAUGCCGGAUCGGUUCGUCACCUGUGUAACCAGCCAGCUGAUUAACCAGAAUAGAGCUGCCGCCUUGCCCCAGCACUUGCACUG